UACAGAGGGUGCGAGCGUUGUUCGGAAUUAUUGGGCGUAAAGGGCGCGUAGGCGGUGCGGUAAGUCACCUGUGAAAUCUCCUGGCUCAACUGGGAGCUUGCAGGCGAAACUGCCGUGCUGGAGUGUGGGAGAGGUGCGUGGAAUUCCUGGUGUAGCGGUGAAAUGCGUAGAUAUCAGGAGGAACACCGGUGGCGAAGGCGGAUCUCUGGGCCAUUACUGACGCUGAGGAGCGAAAGCGUGGGGAGCGAACAGG
Molecule: ribosomal RNA, 253 nt
Filed under: uncultured bacterium
Lineage: Bacteria
Description: partial 16S ribosomal RNA
Rfam family: Bacterial small subunit ribosomal RNA
Source: RNAcentral